AGCACUCAUAACAUGGUGCUGACAGAAGUACAUCCGACGUGACAUCAAUGUUACGGCCACCACUGUUGUGGCUUUGGGAUUAC
RNAcentral lists this non-coding RNA (83 nucleotides) under unclassified sequences. RNAcentral's name for it is "S15-Methanomicrobia ribosomal protein leader". It matches the Rfam family "S15-Methanomicrobia ribosomal protein leader". The record is from RNAcentral.